Molecule: ribosomal RNA, 564 nt
Filed under: Streptomyces sp. 334E12
Lineage: Bacteria; Bacillati; Actinomycetota; Actinomycetes; Kitasatosporales; Streptomycetaceae
Description: bacterial SSU rRNA
Rfam family: Bacterial small subunit ribosomal RNA
Source: RNAcentral
UAGUGGCGAACGGGUGAGUAACACGUGGGCAAUCUGCCCUUCACUCUGGGACAAGCCCUGGAAACGGGGUCUAAUACCGGAUAAUACCUGCCUGGGCAUCUGGGUGGGUUGAAAGCUCCGGCGGUGAAGGAUGAGCCCGCGGCCUAUCAGCUUGUUGGUGAGGUAGUGGCUCACCAAGGCGACGACGGGUAGCCGGCCUGAGAGGGCGACCGGCCACACUGGGACUGAGACACGGCCCAGACUCCUACGGGAGGCAGCAGUGGGGAAUAUUGCACAAUGGGCGAAAGCCUGAUGCAGCGACGCCGCGUGAGGGAUGACGGCCUUCGGGUUGUAAACCUCUUUCAGCAGGGAAGAAGCGAGAGUGACGGUACCUGCAGAAGAAGCGCCGGCUAACUACGUGCCAGCAGCCGNGGUAAUACGUAGGGCGCAAGCGUUGUCCGGAAUUAUUGGGCGUAAAGAGCUCGUAGGCGGCUUGUCACGUCGGGUGUGAAAGCCCGGGCCUUAACCCCGGGUCUGCAUUCGAUACGGGCUAGCUAGAGUGUGGUAGGGGAGAUCGGAAUUCCU